Molecule: long non-coding RNA, 483 nt
Filed under: Homo sapiens (human)
Lineage: Eukaryota; Metazoa; Chordata; Mammalia; Primates; Hominidae
Description: HSALNT0063276
Source: RNAcentral
CCAGAAUGCUGCAUUUCUAACACUCUCCCAGAUGGUGCCAAUGUUCCUCAUCCACAGACCACAGCUGAAGUAGCAACUAUGUAAACCUCAGGCUACUCAUCACAGUGCAGAGUGAUUUCACCUAAAGGCACAACAGCAGCUGAUUGCCACAAUACAAACAAGAGCCGCCACUUACUGACAGCAGCUACGUGCCAGGUAAGUCAAAUGAGGAAGAACACCUUCAGUGUGGGGGAGAAAUGGGUCUUCAACGUCAUCUUAGACCAGUGGCUCUCAAAGUAUAUAACAGCAGCGUCAACAUCAGCAUUAUCUGGGAACGUGUUGGAGAUGUGAAUUCUUGGGUUCCACUUCAGACAACGAAUCAGAAAUUCUGGGAAGACAGCUGUCUGCUCACCAAGAAGAGGACCCUCAUCAGACACUGGAUCUACUGGCAUCUUGAUCUUGGAUUUUCUAGCCUCUUUAACUGUGAGAAAUAAAAUGUUUAAG